RNAcentral lists this ribosomal RNA (115 nucleotides) under Pteropus alecto (black flying fox). Lineage: Eukaryota; Metazoa; Chordata; Mammalia; Chiroptera; Pteropodidae. The record is from RNAcentral.
GUCUACAGCCAUGCCCCCCUGAACAAGCCUGAUGUCUGACUCAGAAGCUAAGCAGGGUCAGCCCUGGUUAGUACUUGGAUAGGAGACCACCUAGGAAGACCAGGUGCUGUAGGCA